Molecule: non-coding RNA, 28 nt
Filed under: Homo sapiens (human)
Lineage: Eukaryota; Metazoa; Chordata; Mammalia; Primates; Hominidae
Source: RNAcentral
CAGCAAAGCAACACAGACACUCCAUCCC